GUGAAUCAUCAAAUUUUUGAACGCAAAUUGCACUCCCCGGUUUUCCAGGAGAGUAUGCCGGUUUGAGGUUCAUCCUAAAAAAAAUCGACAUAGUUGCUGUUACCCGGUAACGUUUGUGGGAAAUUUUUUCAUCUUAGACCUUUUGUGGUAAGUGGCUUAAAAUUUGCUUUACGAUUCCAAGAACGUUUCUA
This 191-nucleotide unclassified non-coding RNA is filed under the name Glomeraceae sp. RNAcentral's name for it is "partial contains 5.8S ribosomal RNA and internal transcribed spacer 2". The stretch from base 1 to 72 matches the Rfam family "5.8S ribosomal RNA", at positions 84 to 154 of the family's 154-position model. The record is from RNAcentral. Lineage: Eukaryota; Fungi; Glomeromycota; Glomeromycetes; Glomerales; Glomeraceae.